Molecule: transfer RNA, 91 nt
Filed under: Rhodococcus phage Peregrin
Lineage: Duplodnaviria; Heunggongvirae; Uroviricota; Caudoviricetes
Description: tRNA-Ser
Source: RNAcentral
GGAAGGUCAAGCCGAUAGACGGCGACGGCACUGGAUUUGAAACCCAGCGAGCGUAAAAGCCUUAGGAGUUCGACCCUCCUACCUUCCGCCA